This 694-nucleotide long non-coding RNA is filed under the name Ananas comosus (pineapple). RNAcentral's name for it is "long non-coding RNA (ACOM_LNC032553)". Lineage: Eukaryota; Viridiplantae; Streptophyta; Magnoliopsida; Poales; Bromeliaceae. The record is from RNAcentral.
UUAAAUCCCCUUUUUACAAUUUAGUCCCUCAACUAUACACUAUUCACUUCGGGCAGUUCGAAAUCUGAUAUCUUUCGCCGGAGCUCCCUGAAUAUCUGUUUGAGCUCAAAUUUGACAGUCAUGUUCCGUUUUACGUAAUGAGUCCAAAAAAAUUUUAAUAUUUCAGUUUCGACCAUAUUUGGUCACCGAAAGCUCCACCGAACUGUAAUCUUUAUCAGAUAGCUGUCGGAUAUUAUUUUUCACUUUUCGGGUGUCAGAAUGGUAUGAAACUUUAAAUCUAGUCUCACAAAAAUAAUUCUGACAUAUCCUCCAGUUUUCAUAAUUUUCUGACACUGUAUAUUUUCUGCUAAUUUAUCUGCCCCGUUUCUCACAGAAAAUUCUAAAUCUUCUGUUUUCGCUCCGAUUUCAGCACAGGUCAUUUCCAACCUAUAUUUUACUUCUCUAAAUCCAAUAAAAAUAGUAUAUCAUACUAUUUUUAUUUAUUUUUAUUUUUAUAUUUAAAAUCCGGUAUAUUACAUUCCACUGCAACCUCACCGGAACCAUUCAAAUGGCUUUCCAACCAAAUGUACACUGUAACUUCAUAAUUUUAGAAGUCCGGUACCUUACAUCCUCCGUUCCUUAAAAGAGUUUCAUCCUCGAAACUAACUCACUUCUAAUCCAACUCAUACCUCAACUCUACUUAUCAAAUAGUCGA